Miniopterus natalensis is the source of this 269-nucleotide non-coding RNA. The record is from RefSeq and is a predicted model, not a curated record. Lineage: Eukaryota; Metazoa; Chordata; Mammalia; Chiroptera; Miniopteridae.
GCGAGAUAGACCUGGAGAACUCCAACACUAAUGGGCUCUCUGCUCCGGAAGGAUGUCGCCAGGAACUUUCCCUCACCUAUGAUGUGUCUGGGCCUGCGGGAUGUCCAGGAAAGGCUGGAGCGGAUGCCCUCUAGUUGGCUGUGUUUAUUCUGGAUCAGGGGCUGUAGUUCAUUGCUUCUCAGCAUCUAUUCCUCUCCUCCCUUCCUAAUAGGAACCUAAACCUCUUCGCCACACAGUUUGUGUGGGCUCUGGGGUGGCUAUGGACAAUC